This is a long non-coding RNA of Beta vulgaris subsp. vulgaris (sugar beet), 378 nucleotides long. RefSeq lists it as uncharacterized. NCBI's taxonomy places the organism in Eukaryota, Viridiplantae, Streptophyta, Magnoliopsida, Caryophyllales, Amaranthaceae. The record is from RefSeq and is a predicted model, not a curated record. The transcript is spliced from 2 exons.
CUCUCUCUCUCUCUCUCUCUCUCUCUAAUUCUCUAAAUUCUAAAAUGCCGCUUCAGGCCUUCUCUCUCUCUCUCUCUCUCAUUCUCUAAAUUCUAAGUUUCAACUCUCUCUCUCUCUUCAAUCUUCUGACCCCAAACUCUCUGAAACGCUUCUCAAACUCAUCCUUUAAACCCAAACGCUAGAUUGGAAAGAUGGAAGAAGCAAAGAUUGAAGAGAGAUUUUUCAGUUACUUUAUUGAUUAAAUUAAUUCUGUAAUUUAUCACAAAUUUUGAUGUUUAUUUCUAUUUAUAUUGUAAUUUUUGUAAUUGAUUUAAAACUGUAUUAAUAAUUGUUGUUAUUACUCUUAUUGUGAUUAAUAAUAAUUACUUUUUCCUUUAA